AUGACAACAGAACCCACAACAACCAUGACUUUUAUCACCAUCUUCAUCUGGACACUUGCUUUCUACAUCGAAGAAUCCAGAGGACAGGUCACUGUGACCCAGACUCCUGCAGUGAAAACUGUUCUCCAAGGACAGACAGUCUCUCUGAACUGUAAAGCCAGCAGUAAUGUGUAUAGUAAUUGUUACAAUGGUCAGUCAUGGAACCAAGAGUGUCUAUCCUGGUACCAACAGAAACCAGGAGAAAAACCCAAACUAAUGAUGCUCCCAGGGAACACACUCCAUUCUGGGACUCCAUCUAGAUUCAGUGGCGGUGGAUCUGGGAGUGACUUCACUCUGACCAUCAGUGGAGUCCAGGCUGAAGAUGCAGGAGAUUACUACUGUCAGAGUUUACACAGUGGUCCAGUGUUCACACAGUGA
Salvelinus namaycush (lake trout) is the source of this 417-nucleotide non-coding RNA. The record is from the annotation of a RefSeq genome assembly. NCBI's taxonomy places the organism in Eukaryota, Metazoa, Chordata, Actinopteri, Salmoniformes, Salmonidae.